This 253-nucleotide ribosomal RNA is filed under the name uncultured prokaryote. RNAcentral describes it as "partial 16S ribosomal RNA". It matches the Rfam family "Bacterial small subunit ribosomal RNA", at positions 524 to 776 of the family's 1533-position model. The record is from RNAcentral.
UACAGAGGUCUCAAGCGUUGUUCGGAUUCAUUGGGCGUAAAGGGUGCGUAGGUGGCGCCGUAAGUCAGGUGUGAAAUUUCGGAGCUUAACUCCGAAACUGCAUUUGAUACUGCGGUGCUUGAGGACUGGAGAGGAGACUGGAAUUUACGGUGUAGCAGUGAAAUGCGUAGAGAUCGUAAGGAAGACCAGUGGCGAAGGCGGCUACCUGGCUUGAUACUGACACUGAGGCACGAAAGCGUGGGGAGCAAACAGG